RNAcentral lists this ribosomal RNA (429 nucleotides) under Chloroflexota bacterium. RNAcentral describes it as "Chloroflexi bacterium partial 16S ribosomal RNA". It matches the Rfam family "Bacterial small subunit ribosomal RNA", at positions 355 to 776 of the family's 1533-position model. Lineage: Bacteria; Bacillati; Chloroflexota. The record is from RNAcentral.
UGGGGAAUAUUGCACAAUGGGCGCAAGCCUGAUGCAGCCAUGCCGCGUGUGUGAAUAAGGCCUUCGGGUUGUAAAGCACUUUCAGCGGGGAGGAAGGAGUUAAGGUUAAUAACCUUGGCGAUCGACGUUACCCGCAGAAGAAGCACCGGCUAACUCCGUGCUAGCAGCCGCGGUAAUACGGAGGGUGCAAGCGUUAAUCGGAAUUACUGGGCGAAAAGCGCACGCAGGCGGUCUGUCAAGUCGGAUGUGAAAUCCCCGGGCUCAACCUUGGAACUGCAUCCGAAACUGGCAGGCUAGAGUCUUGUAGAGGGGGGUAGAAUUCCAGGUGUAGCGGUGAAAUGCGUAGAGGUCUGGAGGAAUACCGGUGGCGAAGGCGGCCCCCUGGACAAAGACUGACGCUCAGGUGCGAAAGCGUGGGGAGCAAACAGG